Molecule: ribosomal RNA, 126 nt
Organism: Piliocolobus tephrosceles (Ugandan red Colobus)
Lineage: Eukaryota; Metazoa; Chordata; Mammalia; Primates; Cercopithecidae
Source: Ensembl
GUCUACAGUCAUACCAGCCUAAACAUGCCCAAUCUUCUCUGAUCUUGGAAGCUAAGUAGGGUUUGACCUGGUUAGUACUUGGAUGGGAUAAGGCUCUGACCAGAUGUGGCCCCUCAACCUUGGACU